Molecule: ribosomal RNA, 410 nt
Filed under: uncultured bacterium
Lineage: Bacteria
Description: bacterial SSU rRNA
Rfam family: Bacterial small subunit ribosomal RNA
Source: RNAcentral
AAUGGGGGCAACCCUGAUCCAGCCAUGCCGCGUGUCUGAAGAAGGCCUUCGGGUUGUAAAGGACUUUUGUCAGGGAGCAAAACCCAGCAGCUAAUAUCUGUUGGGGACGAGAGUACCUGAAGAAUAAGCACCGGCUAACUACGUGCCAGCAGCCGCGGUAAUACGUAGGGGGCAAGCGUUAAUCGGAAUUACUGGGCGUAAAGCGUGCGUAGGCGGUUAAUUAAGUCAGAUGUGAAAGCCCCGGGCUUAACCUGGGAACUGCAUUUGAUACUGGUUAACUAGAGUUGAGUAGAGGAGAGUGGAAUUUCGGGUGUAGCGGUGAAAUGCGUAGAUAUCUGAAGGAACACCAGUGGCGAAGGCGACUCUCUGGACUCAAACUGACGCUGAGGUACGAAAGCGUGGGUAGCAAA